GAAAAUUCCAAAAUGCAGACCUCGACGAGAAAUGUGGACGUAACCCUCUGCAGUUGAGCCCAGAAAGGAAAGACGGCGUUCUACGUGAGCUGCUUAAAAACCCCAAGGCUCCCUGAGGAGUCACCGCCGGGCACACAGCAAUAGUCCACGUCCUCCCCCAUCGCCCUUCCUCCCCAGAUGUUGCCUCCUGCUGCGCCAUCUUCACAGCCCAGAGGCAGCAGGAGGCAACAUCUGGGCCCUCCACCGAGGAGUGGGUCUCGGCAGAGAGCGGCUCCCGGCGCCCAGCUCCUGCUGCCAUCGAUGCGGCUGCGCUUGAGUUCCGGUGUUUGCCAGCGGGCCCGUGUUUAGUAAAAUGUCACCUAUUGAAAGUCUCUUGGCCCACAUCUGCGUGCUCCUCCGUGGGUUGACCUGGAAGCUAUGUUCUGUGCUGUGUGUGUUGUUCGUAUGCGCAGACACAUAUGCAUGGGCUUUUGUGCAGGUGUGUUCCUACGGCUUCCAAACACGGUGGCUGUAACGAGGGUCGGUCCGGUGAGAGCCUGUGUAACUCGCUCAGCCUGCGGCAGAAAUCAGGACAGAAGACACCGGUCGAGAUGAAUGUCUCCCGUCACAGGCACCGGGGGAGUCGGUCCUCAGAGGCCCUGGCCGCCGAGAGCCAGCGGAGCCGCCAGGCACCGGCCCGCCCUCCCCUGCGCUCAGGGUGCCAGGCCCUCCCCGGACCCUCUCUUUCCGCACAGCCGUGCCAGGAGGCGUGCUGUGGGCCUCCCACCACAGGAGAGGGGACCUGGGACAGGUUUCUGGGACUCGGGCCCGCAGCCUUUCUACGCCCAGCACCAGGGAGGUCCAACACAUUGUCUGCCUCAUUCCCCAACACCCCUGCUUUUACCCAAUUCUGUUUUGUUUUACAACCAAAGAAUUGUCCUUUUUGCUGAGCUGAGUGCCGUCGGGAUAAGGAGAGGAGGGGCCCUGGCAGUGUCGUUCUGAGUGUGUGAUCGGGUUUCCUGGGAGUCGGAUGCUAUGAUGAAGGCCCCUGAGCAGUUCCCUUCAACAUGCGACCUGGUGGGGAACCAGCUACCCAAGGACAAAGCUGCCGGCUCACCCGCGGCCCCGCGCCGAGAGCCGGGGCGUGGACAGGGGCUCCCGGAGCCACCACGUGAGCUGAACGGAUGCCUCGUCUGCAUUAAGAAGCUGUGGGCCCGUGAGCGCCACCACUGUCAGCCCGUCCCCCGACCCCUGUCCUCAUGAAGCCACGGGUCUGACUUCUCCACGCCCAGACUGAGGUGAGGACGUGGGGGCAGUUUGAAAUGGAGUUUCCCAGCCUCACCCCGAAUCUGUAGCAAAGCAAA
This is a long non-coding RNA of Myotis myotis, 1343 nucleotides long. RefSeq lists it as uncharacterized. The record is from RefSeq and is a predicted model, not a curated record. The transcript has 3 exons. Lineage: Eukaryota; Metazoa; Chordata; Mammalia; Chiroptera; Vespertilionidae.